CUCCAUGAGCUUUUUCUAGAGGCCGUGAAAAAGCUUGAAGGGCCUGAAAGUGAGUUAGCUUUUAUGUUAUUCCAGCAACCAAUCUAUUAUUCGAAAGAGUUCUUCUGACCAAUAUCUUUUUUUGUUUCACUCCUGUUCCCAGACCCCUGAAAGAGAUUUUACUAUCAAGAUAUCUGGUCUGUAAAUAUACAAUGAAAAUGUUAGUGUUUUGCUGAAUUCAUAUUCCGGUCGUGCCCUUAAACUCCUUGAUGACUCAGAGGGUAAACUCAAUUUGACAGAGAGGUAAAUGUUGGAGAAAUCAUCUCAGUUAGCUAUGGAGAGAAAUAAAAGAACAGAACUCUAUAACGCUUACAAGAAGCUGACGUCCAAAUAUAAGUUUGUCUGCAAAAGAUUUGGUCUUACUGCCGACAGCUUCCUUGAGGAUGAUGGU
This is a long non-coding RNA of Arabidopsis lyrata subsp. lyrata, 430 nucleotides long. RefSeq lists it as uncharacterized. The transcript is spliced from 2 exons. Lineage: Eukaryota; Viridiplantae; Streptophyta; Magnoliopsida; Brassicales; Brassicaceae. The record is from RefSeq and is a predicted model, not a curated record.